Bombyx mori (domestic silkworm) is the source of this 120-nucleotide non-coding RNA. NCBI's taxonomy places the organism in Eukaryota, Metazoa, Arthropoda, Insecta, Lepidoptera, Bombycidae. The record is from RefSeq and is marked provisional.
AUACCGUCGCCGCUUCAGUCUUUUAGAGAAGAAGUGGAAGGCGCAGUGAUAUGCUUUCAUAUCUCAAUUGUUUACCAGCUAUUCAAAAGAUUUGGAACUAAAGCGGCCGAAAUGUCAGGA